UUCAAGCGAGCAAUUGGGCUAUAUGGCCUGGUCUUCAUUAUUCAAUCCCCACCAAAACCCUAAUUUCACCUCUUAUUUAUAUCUCUCUCUCUAACCUAUCAACAUAUCUAUCUCUUCACAACGCCGACUUCGUUCUUCGUAUCAGAUGGAAAUCAUAUAGAUGCAAAAACAAUUCUUUAGAUCAGAGCCUCAUGGACAUGCAGGUUCCUUCUAAAUCAGUGGAUUUUUGCGUUUUCUCGUAGGUUCUACAAUUUCUUUCUGAUUUUUUCUCACUAUAUAUUCUUCGAAUCUUGCUCAAUGAUGAUUCAGUUUGCUUUAACCACACCGAAGAGAAACCAAUGUGUUCGAACAUACCUGGAUUUCGUUUAAGAGUUCUUAUUCCAUUUGAUAAGUAAUUUGAAAGUGGAAUCCGUAUAACUUUUGAAUCAAAUCCACUUAGCGUUCAGAUUCAUUGAGAUUCUCAUGUCGAAAACACUGGCCUUUGUCUGAGAGCAAUUUUAAAUCCAUCAAACUGUUUUUUUAAUAAAAUUUUGCCAUUGAUGAUAACACUGAAGGCUUGUUUCUCACAGACAUUCGCAGUGGCCGCCUAAGAUCUUUCGCCUUUCGCCGGGCUUGAGAGAUUGUGCUGUUUUAUCCUUCCUUGGAUGUCUGAGGCAUUCUUGUUUUAUUGUUUUUCUUACAAAUUCUAUUUUAUUAUUUAAAAAAACAUUAUGUUAUUUUUUAUUGCAAAAUGUUUUGUAUGUUCCUAAAAUUAUAUUAUUUUGAAUCAAAAUAAAUGUUGAUGAUGAUAAUCCGAAGGCUUGUUUCUCAAGACAUUCGCAGUGGCCGACUAAGAACUUUCGCCUUCGCCAGGCUUGAGAGUUAAUGCUGCUUUUUUCCUUCCUUGGAUGUCUGAAACUAAUUUACAUAUGUUUUUAAGCUUUUUAUAUUCAUGUAGUUGUAUUUAUGUUAAAUUAACUUCCUUGGAUUUAAUAGUUUAUCUUAAUUUUGAUAUUUAGGUUUUUCGGUUUAAAUAUAUAUCAAAUAUCUGUAAGUAAAUAAGACAAUAGUUUACGAGAUAUGGCGUAUUUUGCACUCAUUAUAUAUUUAAGGCAAUCAUAUUUUAAUGUAAUUUCGAUUAACUCUGUUUCUAGUUAAUAUUUUGUGUUUUGUA
This is a non-coding RNA of Lactuca sativa (garden lettuce), 1153 nucleotides long. The record is from RefSeq and is a predicted model, not a curated record. NCBI's taxonomy places the organism in Eukaryota, Viridiplantae, Streptophyta, Magnoliopsida, Asterales, Asteraceae.